This 439-nucleotide ribosomal RNA is filed under the name uncultured bacterium. RNAcentral describes it as "partial 16S ribosomal RNA". It matches the Rfam family "Bacterial small subunit ribosomal RNA", at positions 339 to 795 of the family's 1533-position model. The record is from RNAcentral.
CUACGGGUUGCUGCAGUGGGGAAUAUUGGGCAAUGGGCGAAAGCCUGACCCAGCAACGCCGCGUGAAGGAAGAAGGUUUUCGGAUCGUAAACUUCUAUCCCAGGUGAAGAUAAUGACGGUAGCCUGGAAGGAAGCCCCGGCUAACUACGUGCCAGCAGCCGCGGUAAUACGUAGGGGGCAAGCGUUGUCCGGAAUGAUUGGGCGUAAAGGGCGCGUAGGCGGCCUUCUAAGUCCGAUGUGAAAGUCCUGCUUUUAAGGUGGGAAUUGCAUUGGAAACUGGAGGGCUUGAGUGCAGGAGAGGUAAGUGGAAUUCCCGGUGUAGCGGUGAAAUGCGUAGAGAUCGGGAGGAACACCAGUGGCGAAGGCGACUUACUGGACUGUAACUGACGCUGAGGCGCGAAAGUGUGGGGAGCAAACAGGAUUAGAUACCCCGGUAGUC